This 460-nucleotide ribosomal RNA is filed under the name uncultured bacterium. Its description in RNAcentral is "partial 16S ribosomal RNA". It matches the Rfam family "Bacterial small subunit ribosomal RNA", at positions 338 to 795 of the family's 1533-position model. The record is from RNAcentral.
CCUACGGGAGGCAGCAGUGAGGAAUAUUGGUCAAUGGGCGCGAGCCUGAACCAGCCAAGUAGCGUGAAGGAUGACUGCCCUACGGGUUGUAAACUUCUUUUAUAAAGGAAUAAAGUGAGGCACGUGUGUCUUUUUGCAUGUACUUUAUGAAUAAGGAUCGGCUAACCUCGUGCCAGCAGCCGCGGUAAUACGGAGGAUCCGAGCGUUAUCCGGAUUUAUUGGGUUUAAAGGGAGCGUAGGUGGGUUGUUAAGUUAGUUGUGAAAGUUUGCGGCUCAACCGUAGAAUUGCAAUGGAUACUGGCAGUCUUGAGUGCAGUUGAGGUAGGCGGAAUUCGUGGUGUAGCGGUGAAAUGCUUAGAUAUAACGAAGAACCCCAAUUGCGAAGGCAACUUACUAGACUGUAACUGACAUUGAUGCUCGAAAGUGUGGGUAUCAAACAGGAUUAGAUACCCGAGUAGUC